Molecule: ribosomal RNA, 201 nt
Filed under: uncultured Desulfobulbus sp.
Lineage: Bacteria; Pseudomonadati; Thermodesulfobacteriota; Desulfobulbia; Desulfobulbales; Desulfobulbaceae
Description: partial 16S ribosomal RNA
Rfam family: Bacterial small subunit ribosomal RNA
Source: RNAcentral
CGUCAAGUCCUCAUGGCCUUUAUGACCAGGGCUACACACGUACUACAAUGGCCGAUACAAAGGGCAGCGACACUGCGAGGUGAAGCCAAUCCCGUAAAAUCGGUCUCAGUCCGGAUUGGAGUCUGCAACUCGACUCCAUGAAGUUGGAAUCGCUAGUAAUCGUGGAUCAGCAUGCCACGGUGAAUACGUUCCCGGGUCCUU